This 67-nucleotide transfer RNA is filed under the name Marmota monax (woodchuck). Its description in RNAcentral is "tRNA.Ala". Lineage: Eukaryota; Metazoa; Chordata; Mammalia; Rodentia; Sciuridae. The record is from RNAcentral.
GGUUGUGGCUCAGUGGUACAGCACUUGCUUAGCAUGUGUGAAGCACUGGGUUCAAUUCUCAGCAUCA